This 506-nucleotide ribosomal RNA is filed under the name Septoglomus furcatum. Its description in RNAcentral is "LSU rRNA". It matches the Rfam family "Eukaryotic large subunit ribosomal RNA", at positions 255 to 648 of the family's 3401-position model. Lineage: Eukaryota; Fungi; Glomeromycota; Glomeromycetes; Glomerales; Glomeraceae. The record is from RNAcentral.
UUUUCAAGAGUCGAGUUGUUUGGGAUUGCAGCUCAAAAUGGGAGGUAAAUUUCUCCUAAAGCUAAAUAUUGGCGAGAGACCGAUAGCGAACAAGUACCGUGAGGGAAAGAUGAAAAGAACUUUGAAAAGAGAGUUAAACAGUACGUGAAAUUGUUGAAAGGGAAACGAUUGAAGUCAGUCGUACUAACGGGAAAUCAACCUUUUUGAGAUGUAAACUUUGGACUCGAAGAGUGUUCGGGUUCAACUAUUUGCGCUUUAGGGGCGUAAUUUCUCGUUCGGUAGGUUAACAUCGAUUUUGAACAUUAUAAAAUGAUCGGAGGAAUGUAGCUUCGAUCUCGUAUUGAAGUGUUAUAGCCUUUGGUAGAUGUAAUGAUCAAGAUCGAGGAUUGCAACGAAUACCCUUUUGGGCUAUCCGUCUGAUCUCUGAUACGUUGCCUUGGUAAUGAAAGCGUGCUUAUGUUAUUGAGGUAUUACGGUCAAAAGGUUAGAACGUGAUUACAUUCGUU